GCUUGCAACUCCUGGGUUGUGGGUUUGACUCCCACGGGUCUGUUUGAAAAUAUACUCACUACUGUAAAUCGCUCUGGAUUAGCGCACGCGGAUGUGUGGAUGACACAACAUUCCGAAGAGUCGUAUGAAUGCGGAGCGUGCUGUUACAGUAGAACAAUUACAAUAUAGGACAUGCGCGGAUUUUCCGUGGUCAUUUAUUUCCUCACCAAGAUCCAAUACAGACCUAAUCCGGCGGCAAGAUAUUUUUGCUACAAAACAAUUUUCAUAGAACAUAAGUUACUCUCCCACGGUGUUGAGGAACAGAGGCAAAGUAGUGGUAUUCCGAUGGUCUUGCAUGGUGUGGCCCCCUUAUGCUGACAAAGCCCGGAUUUUAAACACAUUGUUCUGAAGAUCUCCCCAAAACCAGCCAAAGGAUGGAAGCAAUACCCAGCACGAAGUACUCUUUGUAAUAUUCUGUGUACAGCCGUAUUUAUUUUUCGAAUGUAUGUAUUUAUAAUACUACACAUACAUAAUUAUUUUUAUUACCUUCAUUAACUGUGCAUGGUCCUUGUAAUCUGUUAGAGAAUAUUUUCACAAGAUUGCAGAGUGGUGGGAGAAGUCAUGUGUGACAUCAGACAUCAAAGCUGACUAGAAGCAAGAAUGCCAAAGAGGCCGACAACAUAUCAAGUCACUAGCCAUCCAAGUUCCAGACCAGAUCGCAGGCCAGACCAGACCAGCAUCUGAAAGGAAUGAACUUAAAUAGACAUGCGAGUUGGAGGCCAGGAGUGGAGGUCCAACCUACCACUUCAAGUCAAAUGGAAGAAAGUAACACUCUUGGAACUCCAAGACCUUGUUUUCAGACCUGUGAGCAACGUGUCCCACCAAACUCUACAGACCUCAAAGUUGUCCUUAACCAGGGACAGAAUUUUAAGCAAACCAUGUGGUGUGUGUUCGAGACGGUCUUCACACCAGACUUGGCAACCCAAACCAACUGAACUGGUGCGGGAGGGGGCAGAAGACUGUCAUCUGGUCAAUGCCACUGAAGGAUGCUGUUAUGUGUUCUGUUCUUAAAAACCCAAGUUUGCCAGUAAUUACUGAGGUCGCGGUUGAAAGGGCGGAGACGGCUGGAGGGAAAUACCUACUGAAGAAGAGGACGAUUAAUUUGUAGCUUAUAUAAUGCACAAUUGUUUGGUGUUUUUGUUUAGGCUUCUUUAAUUUUUUCUCUGUUUGUUAAAUUGUAUAUCUUGUAAAUAAAGUUCAUACCUUAGUCUUUUUCUUGUCUCUUCACUUUACUUAAGC
Molecule: long non-coding RNA, 1278 nt
Organism: Esox lucius (northern pike)
Lineage: Eukaryota; Metazoa; Chordata; Actinopteri; Esociformes; Esocidae
Source: Ensembl